This 257-nucleotide unclassified non-coding RNA is filed under the name uncultured Curvularia. RNAcentral describes it as "sequence contains ITS2". The stretch from base 1 to 52 matches the Rfam family "5.8S ribosomal RNA", at positions 103 to 154 of the family's 154-position model. Lineage: Eukaryota; Fungi; Ascomycota; Dothideomycetes; Pleosporales; Pleosporaceae. The record is from RNAcentral.
AACGCACAUUGCGCCCUUUGGUAUUCCAAAGGGCAUGCCUGUUCGAGCGUCAUUUGUACCCUCAAGCUUUGCUUGGUGUUGGGCGUUUUUUGUCUUUGGUUGCCAAAGACUCGCCUUAAAACGAUUGGCAGCCGGCCUCCUGGUUUCGCAGCGCAGCACAUUUUUGCGCUUGCAAUCAGCAACAGAGGGCGGCACUCCAUCAAGACUCCAUUUUCACGUUUGACCUCGGAUCAGGUAGGGAUACCCGCUGAACUUAA